UGAAGCGAACGCUGGCGGCGUGCUUAAGACAUGCAAGUCGUGCGGGACUGGGGCUUGCUCCAGUCCAGCGGCGCACGGGUGAGUAACACGUGGGUAAUCUACCUCUAGGUCUGGGAUAACCUCGGGAAACUGGGGCUAAUACCGGAUGAGACUAAGAGAUCCUCGGAUCUUGCGGAAAAAGAUGGCCUCUUCUUGAAAGCUAUCGCCAAGAGAUGAGCCCGCGUCCCAUUAGCUAGUUGGCGGGGUAAUGGCCCACCAAGGCGACGAUGGGUAGCUGGUCUGAGAGGACGAUCAGCCACACUGGAACUGAGACACGGUCCAGACUCCUACGGGAGGCAGCAGUCGGGAAUUUUGGGCAAUGGGCGCAAGCCUGACCCGGGGGCGCCGCGUGAGGGAUGAAGGCCUUCGGGUCGUAAACCUCUGUCGGGAGGGACGAAAGGCGCGCGGGUGAACAAUCCGCGUACUUGACGGUACCUCCAAAGGAAGCGCCGGCUAACUCCGUGCCAGCAGCCGCGGUAAUACGGAGGGCGCAAGCGUUGUUCGGAAUCACUGGGCGUAAAGCGCGUGCAGGCGGCUUGGUAAGUCGGGUGUGAAAUCCCGGAGCUCAACUCCGGAACUGCACCCGAUA
Molecule: ribosomal RNA, 628 nt
Filed under: uncultured bacterium
Lineage: Bacteria
Description: bacterial SSU rRNA
Rfam family: Bacterial small subunit ribosomal RNA
Source: RNAcentral